UUUAUCUUAGUGUAUUGAGCACGUAAAAUUUUGAUUUUUAAGGUAAGUUAUUAGAUAAAG
This 60-nucleotide transfer RNA is filed under the name Pseudocrangonyx daejeonensis. RNAcentral's name for it is "tRNA-Gln". The record is from RNAcentral. Lineage: Eukaryota; Metazoa; Arthropoda; Malacostraca; Amphipoda; Pseudocrangonyctidae.